Molecule: ribosomal RNA, 254 nt
Filed under: uncultured bacterium
Lineage: Bacteria
Description: partial 16S ribosomal RNA
Rfam family: Bacterial small subunit ribosomal RNA
Source: RNAcentral
UACGUAGGGGGCGAGCGUUGUCCGGAUUUAUUGGGCGUAAAGAGCUCGUAGGCGGUUCGAUAAGUCGGACGUGAAAUCUCCACGCUCAACGUGGAGGGGCCGUUCGAUACUGUCGUGACUCGAGUCCGGUAGGGGAGUGUGGAAUUCCCGGUGUAGCGGUGAAAUGCGCAGAGAUCGGGAGGAACACCCGUAGCGAAGGCGGCACUCUGGGCCGGUACUGACGCUGAGGCGCGAAAGCGUGGGGAGCAAACGGG